This 29-nucleotide non-coding RNA is filed under the name Rattus norvegicus (Norway rat). The record is from RNAcentral. Lineage: Eukaryota; Metazoa; Chordata; Mammalia; Rodentia; Muridae.
UUCACAUUUCUGUGCAGUGGGGAUCUGUC